Molecule: small nucleolar RNA, 137 nt
Organism: Rattus norvegicus (Norway rat)
Lineage: Eukaryota; Metazoa; Chordata; Mammalia; Rodentia; Muridae
Product: small nucleolar RNA SNORA29
Source: Ensembl
UUUCCCUUUUGACUACCACAAUUUAUCCUAAUAGAGUUUAGUGGCUAUGUUUAAGGGCUAGAUGAAAAGUGCUGUGAUCUGAAGAGGGGGAGCUUUUCCCUGACUUUCCUCUAUAUGAAAUGGCUAAACACAAAAAA